Molecule: small RNA, 22 nt
Filed under: Prorocentrum minimum
Lineage: Eukaryota; Dinophyceae; Prorocentrales; Prorocentraceae
Also listed under: 2 other names
Description: trans-spliced leader sequence SL-like
Source: RNAcentral
CCCGUAGCCAUUUUGGCUCAAG